RNAcentral lists this ribosomal RNA (492 nucleotides) under uncultured bacterium. RNAcentral describes it as "partial 16S ribosomal RNA". It matches the Rfam family "Bacterial small subunit ribosomal RNA", at positions 29 to 507 of the family's 1533-position model. The record is from RNAcentral.
AGUGAACGCUGGCGGUAGGCCUAACACAUGCAAGUCGAACGGCAGCACAGUAAGAGCUUGCUCUUACGGGUGGCGAGUGGCGGACGGGUGAGGAAUACAUCGGAAUCUACUUUUUCGUGGGGGAUAACGUAGGGAAACUUACGCUAAUACCGCAUACGACCUACGGGUGAAAGCAGGGGAUCUUCGGACCUUGCGCGAUUGAAUGAGCCGAUGUCGGAUUAGCUAGUUGGCGGGGUAAAGGCCCACCAAGGCGACGAUCCGUAGCUGGUCUGAGAGGAUGAUCAGCCACACUGGAACUGAGACACGGUCCAGACUCCUACGGGAGGCAGCAGUGGGGAAUAUUGGACAAUGGGCGCGAGCCUGAUCCAGCCAUACCGCGUGGGUGAAGAAGGCCUUCGGGUUGUAAAGCCCUUUUGUUGGGAAAGAAAAGCAGCAGGUUAAUACCCCGCUGUUCUGACGGUACCCGAAGAAUAAGCACCGGCUAACUUCGUG